This 337-nucleotide unclassified non-coding RNA is filed under the name soil metagenome. RNAcentral describes it as "partial contains 5.8S ribosomal RNA, internal transcribed spacer 2, and large subunit ribosomal RNA". The stretch from base 1 to 120 matches the Rfam family "5.8S ribosomal RNA", at positions 35 to 154 of the family's 154-position model. The record is from RNAcentral.
GAUGAAGAACGUAGCGAAAUGCGAUAAGUAAUGUGAAUUGCAGAAUUCAGUGAAUCAUCGAAUCUUUGAACGCACAUUGCGCCCGCUAGUAUUCUGGCGGGCAUGCCUGUUCGAGCGUCAUUUCAACCAUCAAGCCCCAGGCUUGUGUUGGGGGCCUGCGGCUGCCGCAGCCCCCCAAAAGCAGUGGCGGGCUCGCUAUCACACCGAGUGCAGUAGUUCAUCUUCUCUCCGGUCUUGUGAGGCGGGUUCCGGCCGUGAAACACCCCACUACAUUCAAGGUUGACCUCGGAUCAGGUAGGAAUACCCGCUGAACUUAAGCAUAUCAAUAAGCGGAGGA